RNAcentral lists this ribosomal RNA (467 nucleotides) under uncultured bacterium. Its description in RNAcentral is "partial 16S ribosomal RNA". It matches the Rfam family "Bacterial small subunit ribosomal RNA", at positions 28 to 507 of the family's 1533-position model. The record is from RNAcentral.
GACGAACGCUGGCGGCGUGCUUAACACAUGCAAGUCGAACGGAAAGGCCCUGCUUUUGUGGGGUGCUCGAGUGGCGAACGGGUGAGUAACACGUGAGUAACCUGCCCUUGACUUUGGGAUAACUUCAGGAAACUGGGGCUAAUACCGGAUAGGAGCUCCUGCUGCAUGGUGGGGGUUGGAAAGUUUCGGCGGUUGGGGAUGGACUCGCGGCUUAUCAGCUUGUUGGUGGGGUAGUGGCUUACCAAGGCUUUGACGGGUAGCCGGCCUGAGAGGGUGACCGGCCACAUUGGGACUGGGAUACGGCCCAGACUCCUACGGGAGGCAGGAGUGAGGAAUAUUGCACAAUGGGCGGAGGCGUGAUGCAGCAACGCCGCGUGCGGGAUGACGGCCUUCGGGUUGAAAACCGCUUUCGCCUGUAACGAAGCGUGAGUGACGGUAAUGGGUAAGAAGCACCGGCUAACUACGUG